Molecule: long non-coding RNA, 3491 nt
Filed under: Homo sapiens (human)
Lineage: Eukaryota; Metazoa; Chordata; Mammalia; Primates; Hominidae
Description: HSALNT0058853
Source: RNAcentral
CUGGGGCUGGGGUUGGGGGCAUGGGUUGGGGGUGCUAGUGGCCACGGAAAAGUUAGUUACCUAUGCGUGUGUAUGUGUACGCGCACGCGCGCGUGUGUGUUGGUCAGAAAACUUUCAGAGCUGUGGUUCUCAAACUUGAUCUGCAGCAGGACUCCCUGGAAGGCUUGCUAAAUCCCUUUGCUGGGCCCCACCUCCAGAGUUUCUGAUUCAGUAGGUGGACCUGGGAAUUUGCAUUUCAAAUAGGUUCCCAGGUGAUGCUGAUGCUGCAGGUCAGGGGCCACGUUUUAAAAACUACCUUUCCAGGGCAGUGAGAAGGCAAAUGUUGAGUUGGUGGCAAAUUGGAUUCCCUUCUUAUUUUUUAGGAAUGAAGCACAGGUUGUGAGCGGUCAUCCAUUCCGUAUCUUCAUUGCAGCUGAGAAAACCAAGUCCCAGCAGGGCUAAGCCAUUUGUUUAAAGUGAACUGGGAGUUUGUGCCAAGCUGGUGAGGAAGCUGUCCUGGAAAUAAGACAGCCAGGCUAGUAGUAGGGUGAAUGGGGGUGCUGCCUUCCCUGUGUGGCUGGACAGCUGCACUGGGAGUCAGGAAGCCACUGUGACUUUGGAAAGUCACUUAACUUUUCUGGGCCUCUGGGGGUUUUGUGUGUGUGUGUGUGUGUGUGUGUGUGUGUGUGUGUGUGUGUGUGUGUGUUUGUUUGUUUGUUUGUUUUUUGACAGAGUCUCACUCUGUCGCCCAGGCUAGAGUGUAGUGGUGCAAUCUCGGCUCACUGCAAAGUCUGCCUCCUGAAUUCGAGAGAUUCUCCAGUGUCAGCCUCCCAAGCAGCUGGGAUUACAAGCACCUGCCACCAUGCGCGGCUAAUUUUUGUAUUUUUAGUAGAGACGGAGUUUCACCAUGUUGUCCAGGCUGGUCUUGAACACCUAGCCUCAAGUGAUCUGCCCACCUUGGCCUCCCAAAGUGCUAAAAUUACAGGCGUGAGCCACCUCACCCGGCCCUGUUUUGUUUUUUAUUAACUUGUUUCUUGUCAGUAAACAUACAUACUUUACACUGAGUAUAGGACUCUAAUUGAAUCUGAACCAAAAGACCUUUACAAAGGAAACAUAAAUGUAUUUUAUUCCAUAUUUUGCACUAUUUUUUCUCCGGUAUUUAGUCAUUCAGGCAGAAGCCAAUUUCCUUUUUGAUUUAUCGAGUACUUUCAGCUCUGUGCCUGGAUUCUUAGGCAUGUUCCUCUGGCAAAAUGGAUCUGGAGGAUGAUGCAUUUUCAGCAAGAAGGUGAAAAGGACUCUGAACUCUCUCUGUGCAUUAUCCACCUACAUUUCCUUUUCCUACUUAAUCAUCCUAAUUUUCCUUCCCUUUUAAUCUCUAACAAUCUCCCCCAACAUUCUCAAAGACCUAUUUUUCUUUCCAGUCAUUGACUAUAUUAGCUUCCACUUUCUUUUGUCCUCCUUCCAAGGCACAAUUCUGGACUACAAGGCCUGGGGUCCACCCUGGGUACAGAACUUUUAAUUCCCCCAAGGGAAUGGGUCAACCAGCUUCCUCUGCAGUGAUAACACUCCUUCUCCCCAGGGACCCAAGCAGCGUAUCCAGCCUUCUGUUUUUCAAAGAUGAUUCCAAGUACCGCUCAAUGAGAACGUGAUGCAUGAAGAUGGAGUCUGGCUCUCUCACCCAGGCUGGAGUGCGGUGGCAUGAUCUCAGCUCACUGCAACCUCCACCUCCCCGAUUCAAGCGAUUCUCCCUGCCUCAGCCUCCCGUGUAGCUGGGAUUACAGGUGCCUGCCACCACGCCAGGCUAAUUUUUUUUUUUUAAGUAGAGACGGGGUUUCACCAUGUUGGACAGGCUGGUCUCGAACUCCUGACCUCAGGUGAUCAGCCCGCCUCAGCCUCCCAAAGUGCUGGGGUUACAGGCAUGAGCCACUGCUCCCGGCCUGCUGCUCACCUUUCUUAUAGUUUAGGCAGAAUGCAGAUCACAGCUUAAUAAAGAGGACUUAAUUCUGCUGGCGGCAUCAAGCACACUGUUGGUACCUCAGAUAUGUUUAUUGUUUUUAUUGCUCUUUGUAUUAAUGUGAUUGUGUUUAUUACUACUAGUCCUGUAAGAACAACGUAUCUGAAUUUUCUCCCCACUCCAUUUUGCCUGGAGGGUAUUUCUUGCCUAAUUCCCUCCUCCCCUUUCAAUUAGUUUCUCUAUCUUAACCCACCCCAACCCAUUCCAGCAUCUCUAGCCAUUUCAAAACAGUUAGGUGGAGUCUGGAUCUUGUAAGGUGCUUUUUGCUACUGUCCGUUCUGUUGAUGGUGAUUUACCUCUAGCACCUUGCUUUCUUGGAAAUGUUAUGGGCCUCCACCAAGAAGGAAGCAUUUGGUAUGGAAGUGAUCAUCACAUUAAUUUAAAUGCUUGGUCGGGGGAAGGAGUGGGGAGGUGAGUAGGGAUUGUAGGUCUAUAUAAGUCACUAUGUUGCUAGGCUGUGCAGAAUAAACUGGAAGGAAUUCAGUGAAUGACAUGAAAAGACGUGGUUUCCUCUCAGUGUGCUGUAGAUACUCUACCUGUAUCAUAUAAACAGGGAUCUCUUUGACUGUGAAAGAUAUCUGGAGAGGAUUAUGCUGAGAAAAUUAUUAAGAUGUAGACAAGAAAGAAGGACUUGAUGAUGUUUUCCUCUGUUUUAAUAUAAAUCUGCUUUCCUGAUUAUAAAAUAUGUGCACUGACAAAAAUUUAGAAAAUGUAGAAAAACACAUAAAAGAAGAAAAUCAACUUAAAGUUACUACCCAGGGAUAACAUUGUUAUUAACAUAGUGGAGUGUUUUUUCUAGUCAUUUUUCUUUCUUGUUUUUGUUUCUCAUCAAUACAAAUAAACACGUUAUCGACACUGAGUAUAUGAUUCUAAUUGAAUCAGAAUUGAAAGACAUUUAAAGGGAAACAUAAUUGGGGUGAGUUUAUUCAAUAUUUUAUACAAUUUUUAAUGCAUCUGGUAAUUCAGGCAGGAGCCAGCUUCUUCAUUGAUUUAUCUGGUACUUUCAUAUUUUACAAAUUUGGGUUCAUUGUACAUACAGGUUAUCAUGCUUUUAAAUUUAACAUUUUAAUGAUUAUUUUCCCCAUAUGUAAUCUUCAAAAUUUGACUUAACUGCUGUGUACUAUCCCAUCAAAGAGAGAGAUUGUUAUUUAUUCAACCAUUCUUCUAUUGUUACAUAUUUAGAUCGUUUCCAUUUUUAUUAUCAUCCUGUAUUGCAGUUGACUAAACAUCUAGCUAUAAAUCUUUUUGUUCUGAUUAUUUCCUAAGGGUAAAUUCAUGUAAGUAGGAGUUUGGGAUCAAUGGAUAGGAUAUAACAUUUUAAAUGCUUUUAGUUGGUAUUACAAAAUUGUCCUCCAGUGGUUCCAAUGUACAUUUCCAUCUCUCAGAUUAUUUUAAUUAAAAACAACAAUGAGAUCAUCAAACACAAGGUCCCAAGUGAAGACUUGAUUGAAUUAUCUAGUCUGAAUGAUUACACUGAACAAUAAAGAAAACAACUGCC